RNAcentral lists this ribosomal RNA (601 nucleotides) under Streptacidiphilus sp. RNAcentral describes it as "bacterial SSU rRNA". It matches the Rfam family "Bacterial small subunit ribosomal RNA", at positions 133 to 749 of the family's 1533-position model. Lineage: Bacteria; Bacillati; Actinomycetota; Actinomycetes; Kitasatosporales; Streptomycetaceae. The record is from RNAcentral.
GCACUCUGGGACAAGCCUUGGAAACGAGGUCUAAUACCGGAUAUUACCCCUGGGGGCAUCCCUGGGGGUGGAAAGCUCCGGCGGUGCAGGAUGAGCCCGCGGCCUAUCAGCUUGUUGGUGGGGUGAUGGCCUACCAAGGCGACGACGGGUAGCCGGCCUGAGAGGGCGACCGGCCACACUGGGACUGAGACACGGCCCAGACUCCUACGGGAGGCAGCAGUGGGGAAUAUUGCACAAUGGGCGAAAGCCUGAUGCAGCGACGCCGCGUGAGGGAUGAAGGCCUUCGGGUUGUAAACCUCUUUCAGCAGGGAAGAAGCGCAAGUGACGGUACCUGCAGAAGAAGCACCGGCUAACUACGUGCCAGCAGCCGCGGUAAUACGUAGGGUGCGAGCGUUGUCCGGAAUUAUUGGGCGUAAAGAGCUCGUAGGCGGCUUGUCACGUCGGAUGUGAAAGCCCGGGGCUUAACCCCGGGUCUGCAUUCGAUACGGGCAGGCUGGAGUGUGGUAGGGGAGAUCGGAAUUCCUGGUGUAGCGGUGAAAUGCGCAGAUAUCAGGAGGAACACCGGUGGCGAAGGCGGAUCUCUGGGCCAUACUGACGCUGA